CAGUAGCCGCGGGAAUACGAAGGGUGCAAGCGUUAAUCGGAAUUACUGGGCGUAAAGCGCGCGUAGGUGGUUUGGUAAGAUGGAUGUGAAAUCCCCGGGCUCAACCUGGGAACUGCAUCCAUAACUGCCUGACUAGAGUACGGUAGAGGGUGGUGGAAUUUCCUGUGUAGCGGUGAAAUGCGUAGAUAUAGGAAGGAACACCAGUGGCGAAGGCGACCACCUGGACUGAUACUGACACUGAGGUGCGAAAGCGUGGGGAGCAAACAGGAUUAGAGACCCCUGUAGUCCCUGUCUCUUAUAC
RNAcentral lists this ribosomal RNA (301 nucleotides) under uncultured bacterium. RNAcentral describes it as "partial 16S ribosomal RNA". It matches the Rfam family "Bacterial small subunit ribosomal RNA", at positions 509 to 807 of the family's 1533-position model. The record is from RNAcentral.